RNAcentral lists this ribosomal RNA (525 nucleotides) under uncultured bacterium. RNAcentral describes it as "bacterial SSU rRNA". It matches the Rfam family "Bacterial small subunit ribosomal RNA", at positions 777 to 1301 of the family's 1533-position model. The record is from RNAcentral.
AAUAGAUACCCUGUAGUCCACGCCGUAAACGAUGAGUGCUAAGUGUUAGAGGGUUUCCGCCCUUUAGUGCUGCAGCUAACGCAUUAAGCACUCCGCCUGGGGAGUACGGUCGCAAGACUGAAACUCAAAGGAAUUGACGGGGGCCCGCACAAGCGGUGGAGCAUGUGGUUUAAUUCGAAGCAACGCGAAGAACCUUACCAGGUCUUGACAUCCUCUGACAACUCUAGAGAUAGAGCGUUCCCCUUCGGGGGACAGAGUGACAGGUGGUGCAUGGUUGUCGUCAGCUCGUGUCGUGAGAUGUUGGGUUAAGUCCCGCAACGAGCGCAACCCUUGAUCUUAGUUGCCAGCAUUCAGUUGGGCACUCUAAGGUGACUGCCGGUGGCAAACCGGAGGAAGGUGGGGAUGACGUCAAAUCAUCAUGCCCCUUAUGACCUGGGCUACACACGUGCUACAAUGGAUGGUACAAAGGGCUGCAAGACCGCGAGGUCAAGCCAAUCCCAUAAAACCAUUCUCAGUUCGGAUUGU